This 402-nucleotide ribosomal RNA is filed under the name uncultured bacterium. Its description in RNAcentral is "bacterial SSU rRNA". It matches the Rfam family "Bacterial small subunit ribosomal RNA", at positions 28 to 433 of the family's 1533-position model. The record is from RNAcentral.
GACGAACGCUGGCGGCGUGCUUAACACAUGCAAGUCGAGCGGUAAGGCCCUUUCGGGGGUACACGAGCGGCGAACGGGUGAGUAACACGUGGGUGACCUGCCUCUAGCUCUGGGAUAAGCCUGGGAAGCUGGGUCUAAUACCGGAUAUGACCUCGCGGUGCAUGUUGCGGGGUGGAAAGCCUUGUGCGGCUAGGGAUGGGCCCGCGGCCUAUCAGCUUGUUGGUGGGGUGANGGCCUACCAAGGCGACGACGGGUAGCCGGCCUGAGAGGGCGACCGGCCACACUGGGACUGAGACACGGCCCAGACUCCUACGGGAGGCAGCAGUGGGGAAUCUUGCGCAAUGGGCGAAAGCCUGACGCAGCGACGCCGCGUGAGGGAUGACGGCCUCGGUUGUAACGUAC